RNAcentral lists this long non-coding RNA (540 nucleotides) under Homo sapiens (human). RNAcentral's name for it is "non-protein coding LINC01278:28". Lineage: Eukaryota; Metazoa; Chordata; Mammalia; Primates; Hominidae. The record is from RNAcentral.
GCUAGGUUCCGGAACCUGACCUGAGCUGGGGCCUGUGCUUCCAGCGGGUGGUGGGGGGCCUGGUGUGCUGGCAUCAAGUAAGCCGACUACCUCGGCAAAGGCUUAGGGACAAGAGACCAGCAGCCUGAACUGGCUGGGGCAUCCGGAAGGCUUAGAUCUUGUGGCCAAGAGUUCAGACCGUGGCGAAGUGGAGAGUGACAUGCAGUUGGAUGGCGGUGACUGCGUGGUCCUGCAACCCUGGUUCCAGUCUGGCAAGCAUUGUAGACCUGGCUGCUGAAGACUGACGGGGCCCAGGGUCCGCUGCCCCCACCGCCAUCACCACCUCGGAACCCAGGGUAACGCUGUCAGUCUUUGAUGAUGUCAGAAGUGGGAUCCAAAGUAGAGCUUAUAAUGACACCUAGGAGUGCUGAGUGACCAAGCAAGGUACCCACCAGGCCGAUUAUGUCCAUUGUUCUCUUGGAGCAGCUGGUCAUCAUGGGAAAGGGUGCCACACUGGGAAUGCAAGCUGUCCUUGCUUCUGAACCAAGACUACUAUUGUGC